RNAcentral lists this long non-coding RNA (1580 nucleotides) under Vulpes vulpes (red fox). RNAcentral's name for it is "lncRNA (ENSVVUG00000009520.1)". The record is from RNAcentral. Lineage: Eukaryota; Metazoa; Chordata; Mammalia; Carnivora; Canidae.
AUGAGUCAGCUUUCGGGGGCCCAUCACCCCCUCCCACUGUGGAACUUCAGGUCCAGAUCCCUGUGCGGGGGAGGGUGGGGAGCCUUUGUCACUGGGCCCUGGGCUCAGAGCUGGGCAGGGGACAGAGGCUGUCCUCUGUACCCCAAAUCAGGAGUUCCCAGGACUAGUGUCUGCUUUACUACGCCAACCCAGCCGCGGGCUCUGUCCCCACAGGCUUUCUGCACACUGUCACCUGGCAGGAGCCCUCUUUUGUGCCCCUUGCUGGGCUUCCGGGCUAUAAAUGAGCGGGACGGGUAUUUAAAUUUCAGAUACGGAGGCAGCAUUGCACAGGGGACUUUACCACCGGGAUUGGGAGAUUCAUCAGGCUGGUACCUCGCUCUACCUGGCGUUCCCACCAUCUCAGACCCCAUUGCCCACGAGCCACAAGUGGUCCUACUGGGCCGCCUCCAGGGGACGCCCAGGCCCUCCCCCACUGAGCUGGGUGGGGAUGAGGGGACACAAGUACUCUCAGCUCCAAGAAUGUGCAGCGUCAGGGGACCCUGGUGGCCUGCGUUGUGCCGCGCUGCCCGCCCACUGUGCACUCCAGGUGGCUCUCCAGGCCAAGGGGCCCCCAGGGAGGCUGCUUCGCACACGGCUCCGGGUUCCCUGUGGUCCUCCAGGCCCCCUCCAGGUGCACCCCCGCAGCUCCCUCUCUACCGGUCCCCGCGCGGUCACCCCUCCCUCAGAGCGUUUUUACCGACAGCUUCGGAGGCUGGUCCGCCCCUGGAACAGUAACAGCAAGAGCCAGAGCCCCGGGGCCAAGCCCCACACCUGCAUUAGUGCUCACAGUAAGCCGAGGAGGGGCUCUCAGCACUCCUGGUUUGCAAGUGAAGAAAUGCAGAGGGAGAGGUUGAGGCGCACACCCUCCCCCCAUUCCCACCCCAAGCACUGGGCUCAGGGCUCACCCCUCUGCUUUGCCACAGGCCUUUUGUAGGCAGGGCUGCGGCUGCUUCUAACUGCCCCUCCACCCCCNNNNNNNNNNNNNNCACCCCCCCACCCCGGGCUCCUUGCAACCAAGUUGGGCCCCUCCUCGGCACGCCCAGCCUCUUGACUCCCAGAAUCACACCUUCCCUUUUGCUAGAGAGACAGGCAGAGGGUGAGGGCCAGUUUCCCUGGGGAACUGCAGUUAGGUCCCUAACUGGUGCUGUCACGUUUGGGGGCGGGGGGUGUCUAGUCAGACCUCACUCACCCCACUGCUGACCCAGCAGGUGAUCCGGGCAAGUCCGUUUUCCUUGUGCUUUACUCUCUGACUCUUGAUCUCAGAGUUGUGAGUUCGAGCCCCAUGCUGGGUAUAGAGAUUAUUUAUUUUUUAUUUUUUAUUUUUUUUAGAGAUUACUUUAAAAAACAAAAUCUUGAAGGAUGCGUGGGUGGUUCAGCGGUUGAGCAUCUGCCUUCAUCUCAGGUCAUGAUCCCAAAAUCCGGGGAUCCAGUCCCACAUCGGGCUCCCCAGGGAAUCUGCUUCUUCCUCUGCCUGUGCCUCUGACUCUCUAUGUCUCUCAUGAGUAAAUAAAUAAAAUAUUUUUAAAAAUAAAGUCUUGAAA